Molecule: ribosomal RNA, 495 nt
Filed under: uncultured bacterium
Lineage: Bacteria
Description: partial 16S ribosomal RNA
Rfam family: Bacterial small subunit ribosomal RNA
Source: RNAcentral
GAUGAACGCUGGCGGCGUGCCUAAUACAUGCAAGUAGAACGCUGAAGGAGGAGCUUGCUCUUCUGGAUGAGUUGCGAACGGGUGAGUAACGCGUAGGUAACCUGCCUGGUAGCGGGGGAUAACUAUUGGAAACGAUAGCUAAUACCGCAUGACAACAGUUAUUGCAUGAUAACUGUUUAAAAGGGGCAACUGCUCCACUACCAGAUGGACCUGCGUUGUAUUAGCUAGUUGGUGAGGUAACGGCUCACCAAGGCGACGAUACAUAGCCGACCUGAGAGGGUGAUCGGCCACACUGGGACUGAGACACGGCCCAGACUCCUACGGGAGGCAGCAGUAGGGAAUCUUCGGCAAUGGACGGGAGUCUGACCGAGCAACGCCGCGUGAGUGAAGAAGGUUUUCGGAUCGUAAAGCUCUGUUGUAAGAGAAGAACGAGUGUGAGAGUGGAAAGUUCACACUGUGACGGUAUCUGACCAGAAAGGGACGGCUAACUACGUG